UCUGCUGUCACAGCACAGAAAUAUUCCAUUGUCUGUUGAAGUACAGCUGAAGCACAGUGAGAAAGGCACCAGCACCAGGCCCUUCCAACACAGAGGAUGGUUGGAGCUCCACAGCUGCUCCUCUGUGGCCAUGCUGAGAGCCUGAGCAGUGACAGUGUAGCAUCACUUACAGACUCUGCUACAAUAUUUCCAGUCAUUCCCCUUCAUCUGUCUCAGUUCAAGUUAACUAGAGGAAAAAACCUUUUCAUGUUUGCAAUCUGGUAAGGGCUCAGGCUCAGCCAGAAGGUGCAGGUUUUACUGCCUCUCAGAAGCUGAUGGCCCCACUUGUUCAGCUCUGCACCGUGCAGGUUCUCAGGG
Neopelma chrysocephalum (saffron-crested tyrant-manakin) is the source of this 357-nucleotide long non-coding RNA. RefSeq lists it as uncharacterized. The record is from RefSeq and is a predicted model, not a curated record. NCBI's taxonomy places the organism in Eukaryota, Metazoa, Chordata, Aves, Passeriformes, Pipridae. The transcript has 3 exons.